UGGGGAAUAUUGCACAAUGGGCGCAAGCCUGAUGCAGCCAUGCCGCGUGUGUGAAGAAGGCCUUCGGGUUGUAAAGCACUUUCAGCGGGGAGGAAGGCGUUAAGGUUAAUAACCUUGGCGAUUGACGUUACCCGCAGAAGAAGCACCGGCUAACUCCGUGCCAGCAGCCGCGGUAAUACGGAGGGUGCAAGCGUUAAUCGGAAUUACUGGGCGUAAAGCGCACGCAGGCGGUCUGUCAAGUCGGGUGUGAAAUCCCCGGGCUCAACCUGGGAACUGCAUUCGAAACUGGCAGGCUAGAGUCUUGUAGAGGGGGGUAGAGUUCCAGGUGUGGCGGUGAAAUGCGUAGAGAUCUGGAGGAAUACCGGUGGCGAAGGCGGCCCCCUGGACAAAGACUGACGCUCAGGUGCGAAAGCGUGGGGAGCAAACAGG
Molecule: ribosomal RNA, 429 nt
Filed under: Chloroflexota bacterium
Lineage: Bacteria; Bacillati; Chloroflexota
Description: Chloroflexi bacterium partial 16S ribosomal RNA
Rfam family: Bacterial small subunit ribosomal RNA
Source: RNAcentral